GUGCUUGCUUCAGCAGCACAUAGACCAAAAUUGUAAUGAUAGAGAGAAGAUUAAUUAGCAUGGUCCCCACAUAAGGAUGACGUGCAAAUUCAUGAAGUGCUCUGUAUUUAA
Small nuclear RNA from Chionomys nivalis (European snow vole), 111 nucleotides. The record is from RefSeq and is a predicted model, not a curated record. Lineage: Eukaryota; Metazoa; Chordata; Mammalia; Rodentia; Cricetidae.